UUUAUUUCCCUACAUUUGAAUUUCUGCAUGUACCGUGUGUCUUGUUCUUGGCCGUGGUCUGUGGCGGUGUAGUGCUCUGGGGUUUAAAGCACGGCUUGGCAGCUCUGUGCUUCCCCUAGAGGGCCUUUCUGUUUGACUGCCCCCUCUAAAUCAUACACAGCACGCACCUACAGACCCUCUGUUUGUUAUUGCAUGGGAAUUGACAGCCAUUAGGGUUGACGUGGAUCGCUCCCCGUGUGUGUGCAUGUUGGUGUGUUUGUGUGUGACUGAUAUCAGCUUCAAAAAGGAAACACAUUAGAGGCACAUUUGACUGGUGUGCAAAGUAAGGCCUGACGCUGUUAACUCUGUCAGACAUUAUCUGUCCAAAAUAAUUCUGUUGUCAUUUACUCACCCUCAUUGUUUUAUUUUUUAUUAUGAGAAACACAAAAUAAGAUAUUUGAAAUUAAACACUGUAUAAGCCAUGGUAACAGGGUCGAUAUUGCAAUUUGUGUACAAAUUAACAAACUUGAAUGACAACUAUGGGGGAGGAUUGAUUAAUGCUUGCCAAAUUAAUUAUAAAAUGCUUUUUCUACAAUAAAAAAAUAACAAUGGAGAUUGACAGAUUAUGUCAAUUUAGGACAUUGUUGACAUUUUAACUUGUGGGAACAACUGGUCAAGACAGGCCAAACUUUGCUAUUCGUCAUGUAAAAUUUUAUAUCACAUAAUGAUUUAUCUAAUUUCUCUAAGAACAAAAACAUGGGAUGGAACACCAUAGUUUAACAUAUUCGUUUAAUUUGCCUGCAUAGAUAUGCAAGAAUUUAAUUAAUGCCCAGUGUUAUUCAACCACAUUUGACAUUUUCUCCAAAACAAGUAUUGCAUAACCAUUAAAAAAAAAGCCUAGUAGGCGUAAUAAUUAGAUGACUAAUGGUUGGACAUCAAUCAUAAGAGCUCAUUGCUUUUAUUGAGCAUGUGCCCUCAGCAUGCACUGACCCCACACCGGACCUCAUACCUUCUCCAAUUCAUGCUAAUAACCAAUGCAAACAUCAGCCUGAGUAGAGGGAGGGAUGCCAGGGUCAGAUAACGGUUCUGUACUGUUUACAUACACGGUAUAUAACCUGUAAAUACGAGGGGAGGGUUCAUCCUUACUGCCCCGCUAACCCAAACCAUGUGUGCGAGGACAGACCCCCCCUCAAGCACGUCAAUCAACAGGCCAGGGGAGCUGAGAUCGUAAUGAGACUGGCAGAGAAUCCUUCAGCCAUCCACACACAGAAACACAGCGGUUUGAGCGUGCACACAAACACGUACACGCAUUCAAACAUUUAUCUAGAAACAGACACUCUUCAAGCACAGAGAGCAAGCAAAUACACAGAAACUGUGAGACAGACACACAAAGAGGGGUUCUUUGGGGGUCUAACAGAUGUUUAGCACUGGGUUCUGGGGGUUUGCGUGGAGAGCAGCAAACUCGUUGCAUGCUUUUCAUGAUAACCGACACUGUUUAUACUUGGUAUUAGAAUUCAUUUCUUAAAUGCAAGUGUGAACAUGGGGCAAAACAUUUUGUGAUUGGAUUAUUUGAACUGUAUUGAGAGCUAGUCAGAAAUGCAUGCAUUUUUAUUGAAAACGCUAAUACAAACAACACCUGCAGACAACUGCCUUCUCACUUAUCAAUUAGUCUUUUCAUGAAACAAAGGGGUUUAAACCAUGCUAUGCAAAAAAAAAAAAAAAAAAAAAAAACCAUCCACUAUUUUUUCCAACUUGCAUUAUUACACAAAUGAUCUGACAUUCAAAUGUUCUUCAUUAGAACAGAAUUAGACAAAUGUAGCAUUACAUCAUUUGCUUACCAAUGGAUCCAGUGAAUGGGUGCCAUCAGAAUGAGAGUCAGAAGAGAAAUACUGUAUGCUCCAUCCAGAUCAAUCUCCUUUCACAAGCUGAAACACUCCAAAACAGUUCUAAACGAAGUAUGUUUGUAACUAAAUAUGAGUUUGAUAUGAGAUGAUGGACCUUUGCACUGCAGGACGCUUUAUUAUGGAUAUGGAAAUUAUUGUGAUGUUUUUAUUGUCAUUCUAAUGGCACCCAUUCACUGCAGAAGAUUUAAUUGUGCAGUAAAGUAAUGCAUUUUUUUUUCUAAAUCAAUAGUAAUCAAAACAAAAUCAUCUACAUCUUGGAUGGCCUGAGGAUGAAUACAUUUAAAUUUUUUGGACGAACUUUUCCUGUAACAGCAACUAAAAACUUCAAAUAGAUUCAAUACACUUUUUUUCUUUUUCUUCUUUUUUGAUAUUUGAAGGUCACAUUAAAGUACUGUAACAUCAUUAUGUGGUUAUGUUGUCUUUCAAAUGACUUAGGAAUAGAUUUGUUUUACCCUCAUUUUAUCCACACUAUGAAAAUCCAUCAUAGAAAUAUGAAUUACUACAUUUUUAGAAACUGCAAAUCUAAACAGUUUAAAAUACACAUAAACCAUUUGGAUGGUUUUUGAACCCAGUACAGCAGCGUCUUCAUCAAAACCAAAAAAUUAAAAAAGCUUGAGCUUAAAUAUGAGCCAAAAAUGUCUAUAGUUGAAGAAAUACUCAUCUGAACAAGGGUCAUUCUUCAUAUUUAACUACUUCUGAUGGGAGUAUGUGCCUUGAUUGCUAAUAUGCCUUCAGAGAUGUGUCAGUCUUCAUGGUAAUGGUUAUGUUACACUGUCAUUCUUGCAUAAGUGUGUUGAUAUGCAGAGCAUAAGUGGGACAGAUGUGGCGUUCAUCACAACAUCCUCUCAAAGCCUCUGAGAUCUGAUUGGAUCCAUGUUGUGUGAGUCAUGUGAAUCAGACAGGGUUGGCUGGUCCUUUAAAGAAGCUUUGUGUUUGGCUUUCGCAGGGCUCACAAGAAGAAGAAUCCUUGUGCUGAGGAACCCUAUACACUCUUACAUACUGGAUCCAGAUUUCCAGCGCUGGAGGUCUGUGGUGAACCACCCACUGCUGGCAGCGGUCUAACCCGGCUGAGGCAGCGGAUGGGGUGGGUGUUGAAUCCCGUGGAGAGCACUGGAGACCAGACCAGCCCUGCUGAAUCAUGCUAAAUGAAGAUGAAACCGUGCUGGACUGCUGUGUUUGUGUGUGAAAGUGCAGCUGUGUAGGUAAUACUAGGUCAGCUGGACCUCUCAGUGCCCUGGUUUGGGAUGUUUGUGUGUAUUUCCUCAGGUGUUUUCCUGCUUUGAUGCUUGAUGGAAGGCUCUUUAUAACAUCAGUAAACUUACUGAGCAUCAAUUCAGCCUGUGAAUCCACAAAGAUGUCAUUUUCCUGCAACUGUUUCAUGACAAUUGCAGUUUCCAUGCAAUUCUGUUCCCGCAUAUGACAAAGUGCGCAGUCGACAAGGUUAAGGAGAAGAAACAGAAUCUCUCAAGUGAGCACGGCCAACAAAUCGCUCUGUGUAACUCUAGCUCUCCAUGGCUACUCUUCGGGCAGGAGGGGAGAAGAUGUGAGGGGUGUGAUGAGGUCAAUCCCCUGGUGCCUGAUAGUGAAACUGAAAAAUCAUGGAGAAAAUAUGGACUUAUGGCACACACUACAGCAUUUCCUGUACAGUCUCUGGAGUAUUGAGGAAACUGCUUUUUAGGUCAAGAAGGUUAUGACCAGAAGCCAGUUUUCUUGGAAGAGUAAAGCCCACAGCACAACAGAAUUCCAUCCUUAGGGAUUUCGGGAAGCAGCACAGCAGACCUGGAUAGCCUGGGAAAUGGGAGGAGGGAGGCAAUGGGAGGUCUUAUCCAAGAACUUUCUUAACAACUCAGUUUGAAACCCUAAGGGAUGUAUGUGAGAAAUUAUCAACAGGCACUGAAUCAUCUCAUAUUGCAAAAGACCAUUGUUGGGUCUCAUAUUUGGAAAUUUUGUGACUUUCAAAGUCCUUUUCUCAAGAGUUUUUAUUUUCAUUUGUAUUACCAUCAACUGCAUCUAUUUGUAUCUUUGUAUAAAUUGAUAAAUUAAAUCUGACAAUAGCUUUGGCGUCUUCCAAAGAUGCAAAUUUAACUAAUGUGCAAAACUGGAAUAUCGCAUAAAACAUUUGCAAAUGUAGCAACAUUUCCAUACAACAAGAGAGAACAAAAUUGUCACUUCCUGAUAAACUGGCACUAAAUAUCACUAGGAAAGGUAGGAGAAUGUAAUAAUUUUCAUAUAUGUGAUCCUGGACCACGGUGAAUUUUUUUAAACUGAGAGGUGGAUGCCUGCAGUCAUAGAAGACAAUUAUAUAAAAAUACUUUGCUCAGGCAUUUCAGAAUGACCAAAACUACCUUUUAGAUACUGCGCAACAAGAUCAGAACAUUUUUUCUUACCGGAUAAAAAGCUUAUCAUACUUAAUUGCGCGUAUAAAUUUUUUUAAUGCUCAUUUUUUCAAAUUUAUGCACAUUUUGGUGUUUCCAUCCAGCAUUUUUUUUAAUACAGUAUUCCAAAUGCGCAUACAAAUACAUGUAUGUCAACCAUACAAUUGCUAUUCUUUUCAUUUUUCAUUCAUCAAAGAAAAAAAGUGUAGCUGCCACACAAAAAAAUAUC
Long non-coding RNA from Carassius auratus (goldfish), 4487 nucleotides. RefSeq lists it as uncharacterized. NCBI's taxonomy places the organism in Eukaryota, Metazoa, Chordata, Actinopteri, Cypriniformes, Cyprinidae. The transcript is spliced from 5 exons. The record is from RefSeq and is a predicted model, not a curated record.